This 58-nucleotide ribosomal RNA is filed under the name Chaenotheca trichialis. Its description in RNAcentral is "partial 28S ribosomal RNA". It matches the Rfam family "Eukaryotic large subunit ribosomal RNA", at positions 1 to 58 of the family's 3401-position model. RNAcentral also lists the same sequence under 9 other names. The record is from RNAcentral. Lineage: Eukaryota; Fungi; Ascomycota; Coniocybomycetes; Coniocybales; Coniocybaceae.
UGACCUCGGAUCAGGUGGGGAUACCCGCUGAACUUAAGCAUAUCAAUAAGCGGAGGAA